RNAcentral lists this unclassified non-coding RNA (213 nucleotides) under plant metagenome. RNAcentral's name for it is "partial contains small subunit ribosomal RNA, internal transcribed spacer 1, and 5.8S ribosomal RNA". The record is from RNAcentral.
UUUCCGUAGGUGAACCUGCGGAAGGAUCAUUCAUAAUAAGUGUUUUAUGGCACUUUUUUAAAUCCAUAUCCACCUUGUGUGCAAUGUCAGGGUUGAUUUUUCUCUCAAGAGGAUCAGCCCCAAACAUCAACUAUAUCUCAACUCUUUGUCUGAAGAAUAUUAUGAAUAAAACAAUUCAAAAUACAACUUUCAACAACGGAUCUCUUGGCUCUC